This is an RNA transcript of Eutrema salsugineum, 2377 nucleotides long. RefSeq lists it as uncharacterized. The record is from RefSeq and is a predicted model, not a curated record. Lineage: Eukaryota; Viridiplantae; Streptophyta; Magnoliopsida; Brassicales; Brassicaceae. The transcript has 2 exons.
AAUCAAGUGUAGUGGAGUGAGGUGGAGAAAAACCGAGAAUGGAGAUAGCUGAGUGGAACGAGGUACCUGAAUUUCGCGAGGAAUUUCGUGAAGCGGAUUCCGACGGAGAAGAUCGACGUGAACGAAACGAUUUUAACAUCGAGAGAGCUGUAAUGGAUUUCGUUGAUGAAGAUCCUGUUCGUCACAACAUCUAUCCUGAGACAGAUGAUGAAGACGACAAAGUGCAACAGACAAUUAUAAUUCAAAGGAGGCGCACAGGGUUGGAAAGAGGUGAUGGGAACUUGUAUGAAGGUCAAAUUUUCUUCAGUGGAAUAGCGUUUAAGGAAGCCGUCCUUGACUACGCUCUGAAAACAGGCCGAAACAUCUCUCAGAAAAGGUGGGAUAAAGACAAACUCACCUUCAAAUGUGAAGGAAAAAAUGAAGAAGAAACUUGUGAUUGGAGGAUUUACUGUUCCACGACAGGGAAGACUUUGAAGUGGCAAGUGAAAGUUUUCAAUAGUGUGCAUAGCUGUGUUCCAAAUGGACGUGUUGAGAUGGUAAAAGUUUCUGUGAUUGCUCGUCUAUUCGUUGAUAAGAUUAGAGAGGAGCCUGAAUAUUUUAUGCCUAUGAAAAUCGAAGAGUUAGUGUUGGAGAAAUGGAAUAUCAGUGUGUCAAGGUCUCAGUGUCAAGCUGCUAGAAACAAAGCGAUUAGAUGGAUUCAGAGAGAGUAUGAUGAGCAAUUUGCACGUCUUCGGGAUUACGGUCGUGAGAUUCUAGACUCCAACAAAGGAUCCACUGUGGUGAUUGAAUGUCUGCAAAACGAAAAAGGUUUAGAUGUAUUCAACAGGUUUUAUGUAUGUUUUGAUGUGCUUAGGAAAACCUGGAAAAAGACUUGUAGGCCGCUUAUAGGACUUGAUGGAUGCCACUUAAGAUCGAGGAAAAAAGGUCAGAUAUUGGUUGCUAUGGGUCGAGAUACGGAUAAUGCUAUUUAUCCAAUAGCAUGGGCGGUGGUGCAAUCUGAAACCAAAGACAAUUGGUUGUGGUUUGUGAAGAAUAUCAAAGCCGAUUUGGAUUUAGGAGAUGGCGAUGGAUAUAUAAUGGUCUCAGAUAGGCAUAGGGUAAAUGUGUUUGAUUUUGGUGAUGGUGUUUACACUUAUUUCUAGUCACUAUUAAUCGUCGGUUGUGUUUGAUCUGGUUUUUUUUUUCAGGGACUAAUAGCAGCUGUUCAACUAGAGCUUCCACUUAUCGAGCAUAGGAAUUGUGUGAGGCACAUCUAUGCUAACUUGAGAGCAUUGAAUGGAAAAAGGCCAGAGAUGAAGAAGCUGAUUUGGCGUCUUGCAUGGAGCUACAACAAAGCAGAAUUUGAAGAGAAUAAAGAUAAGAUUUCCUGCUAUGACUCAGUGGUGUUUGUGAGUGUGAUGAAGACUAAACCAGAAACUUGGUGUAGAGCCUUCUACAAGUUAGGCCACUACUGUGAAGAUGUGGAAAAUAACUCGACGGAGUCAUGGAAUGCUUCUAUCGUAAAAGCCAGAGACAAACCAUUUGUGCCGAUGCUAGAGACAAUUGCAAGGUUAGCGAUGGUUCGUAUUGCCAAAAGAGGUUUUAUAUCUUUGAACUGGAAAAGUAAGUGCACACCGUAUGUUAUUGACUACCUAGCAGAAGAGUAUGAGACAGCUAAAGAUUGUACGGUUAAUAUAUCUACAAAUUACACAUAUGAUGUUAGAGCUAGUGGAUGUUCUUACCGUGUGCGCAUGCAAGAUAGAACUUGUACUUGCAGGAGAUGGGAGAUCACAGGCAUUCCUUGUGAGCAUGCCUACGCUGUGAUUAUCAAGAAGAACCUUGACGCUGAGGAUUUUGUGUGCCACUGGUUUAUGACCGCAAUGUGGAGGAAGACAUAUACUGAUGGGAUAGUUCCAUUGAGGGGAGCAAGGUUUUGGCCUGUAGGAGAAGAACCAUCGGUGCAUAUGCCUCCGUCGCCACUACAUCCUGGUCGAAAGAAAGGAGAAACAUAUAGAGUUAGUAAGAAGGAGAAACAAAGGAAAAAAGGGAAAAAUGAAUCUCCUGUGAAGAAGGCACCAGUACUUUUAAAGAGGGUAAUGCAUUGUAAAAUCUGUGGUUUAGCUAAUCACAACUCAAGAUUUCAUAAGAAGAAAGGCAAACAGGGUGCUGUAGGUGAAUCUUCUCAGGCUGAACCUUCUCAAGGCGCUCUCACACAGCUUGUGGACUGAUCUGUUUUAUGAGCUUAUCAACGCAUUUCUCAGAUGGAUGUUUUUUGGGUUUAAGAAGCUAUUUGCUUUGUUGGUUUUUGUCUAUGUGAAAGCUUCUUAAAGACAGUUGGAUUUUUUUUAUGUCUUUUGAAUGAUUCUAAUGUUAUUGAUUAGACAAACCAGAUUUUAUU